Molecule: ribosomal RNA, 262 nt
Filed under: uncultured Streptococcaceae bacterium
Lineage: Bacteria; Bacillati; Bacillota; Bacilli; Lactobacillales; Streptococcaceae
Description: partial 16S ribosomal RNA
Rfam family: Bacterial small subunit ribosomal RNA
Source: RNAcentral
UACGUAGGUCCCGAGCGUUAUCCGGAUUUAUUGGGCGUAAAGCGAGCGCAGGCGGUUAGAUAAGUCUGAAGUUGAAGGCCGUGGCUUAACCAUAGUACGCUUUGGAAACUGUUUAACUUGAGUGCAGAAGGGGAGAGUGGAAUUCCAUGUGUAGCGGUGAAAUGCGUAGAUAUAUGGAGGAACACCGGUGGCGAAAGCGGCUCUCUGGUCUGUAACUGACGCUGAGGCUCGAAAGCGUGGGGAGCAAACAGGAUUAGAUACC